Molecule: long non-coding RNA, 21445 nt
Filed under: Brachypodium distachyon (stiff brome)
Lineage: Eukaryota; Viridiplantae; Streptophyta; Magnoliopsida; Poales; Poaceae
Description: long non-coding RNA (BDIS_LNC000706)
Source: RNAcentral
CUAGGAUGUGGGGUUCCAAAGAUCACUCCACUCAACUUUUAAUCAAGUUCUUACUCAUUCUUACCCAGCAAACAGGAAGGUGAUGGCCAGCGGCGAGAACAAGCCCUCCGAAGAUUAGUGUAUCGAUGCCUCGAGGCAAACCAACCUAGGUGUAGAAUCUGUGGAGCUUGGAGGCUUAUGUGAGUAGCAAGGAAAAGCGAAUAAUCAAAUCAGCAACGCAAAGUUGAAAUAUGCUCAAAAAUGCUAGUCCUAGUUGCUGGAGUUGACAAGAACGAAUUACAGAAAUUAACUAAGCUUAGAUACUGAAAAAGGUAAAAAGGAAAGAUCAAAUGAAAGGUAAAACAAGUAAAUAUCUGGGGAACAUUUUUUUCUCUUUUUUUUUUCUUUUUGUGGCCUUCCGUUUGGCUUCUUAUUCUUUUCUAUUCUUUUUCUUUUUUUUUUAACCCCAAAAACUCACGCAAAAGAAGUUAAGACCGGAAAGCUGCACGUCUGUCUAUAAGAGAAUAGCAAAGGCUGUAGUAAGGAAAACUCAGAAAAAUAUGAGAAAAUAUGGGUUAGAAGCUUAUCAAAACAAGCUUUCCAACAAGUGCAAGAUCACUCGAAACGGAGGUCGGACGGUGGAAAAAACUGAGAUAUACUGCGCUGCCCCGGUGCCGUAAAACGGGUGCAGAAAUUUUGGAGCUCGAAAAGUCCACCUUAGAAGCCGAAUUUGAGGGUCAAAGUACAGGGCAGCGCCCUGGAUAUUUCCUGAUGCGCCUCGUCGUGAGCUUUCCAAAAAGUCCAAGAACGUCCAAAUCCGAGUUGGUAUGCAAAAGAUACGUCCGUUUUACUGAACACGGGUCAAACCCACCCGAAACUAAAAUUCUACUCGGACUCGGGUCCGAAACUGACUCGAACUCUUUCUCUUUUUUUUUUGUUUUUUUUCUUUCUUUCUUCCUUUUUUUUUCUUUCCCUUCUUUUUUUUUCACAACUUUCCGAACAAUUUGAUCUCUAAACAAAAUUCGAUCUAUUAUGAAACACUUUCCAAAAGCACUCUUGAUUGGACUCGGACUCGAACUCGCGGCUGAAAACUAUAACUUGCCGACUCGAUGUAGGACUCGACGAGGGAUUCAGUGUAGGACUCGAAGAGGGACUCGGUGUAGGACUCGAAGAGGGACUCGGUGGAAGAUAUGUUGGCGGCGGAAGAUUAUGGCGGUGGUGUGGCAGGAAGUUUGGCAGCGGAAGAUUGAUGGAAAGCCUGCGUCACACGAAAUGAAAAAACAAAAACAAGUUCGAUCUAGUAGAAAAAAUCUGAAAAACGAUCCAAUCUAAUCCAGCAACUCGACACGAUUAAUGCAGCAAAGAUUCAACAAUGCAAAUACUAAUGUGAAAAUUGCAAGGCUCAGAUUGGUUCUAGGACAAGGUAACUAAUUCUAAUUUUUGUUUGGCUUUUUCUGGACGAUAGGUAAAAACAGAUCUAAACUACGGAUAAACUGGAAAAAUCUCACCGAGCAACCUUAAGCUCUGAUACCACGUGAUAGCCUCGAGGGUGUCCCGAUCUUUCGAUGGGAUACCUAAUUAUCGAUUUGGUAGGAGGUGACGUUGACGAUCCGACUACAACCUAGGAGGCAGCAUCUUAGCGAUCGAUACACCAACUCCAGAAGGUUAUUGAUCCCGCGGGGGCACGAUCAACCUGACCACGAAGGUCUUUGUUCCUGCAAGCAAUCGAAGAACAAGCAAGAACAAGAUGAAAAGCAAUCUGAAAUUGCGAACAGGAGAUAUGAAGGUUCACGAAUCUGAAUACUCAAUAUAGUUGGAGUCUUGAUGACGGUAAAACAGGUGGUCUAACCGACACACGCGAUUACACGAAAGUAGCAAAGGUUAAACUUUAUCUAAUCAAAACCCAAGGCUCCAUAGGGGGGCUCAUGGGGUAUAAAUAGGAGGGGAACUAGGUGGUUUUCGGCCAGGCCCUUGUGAGACUCCGAAACGGCCUAGGAAUCCUCCUAAAACACAACGAAAACAUCUAAAAAUUGGCUGGACCCUAUUACAUGGCCUUAGGCCCAAUAAAACAAGGUUAUAACCCUCAUCUUUGGCCCAUAGAUACCUUUUGGAGAGGGAAUCAUCCACUUGGCCGAAAUCCCAUUGAUGAAGAGGAUGCGGCCUUCUUCUCAUCUCUUUAUGGCGGUUUCAAUGUUCUGAAAUCAACACUUGAGCUAACUCACGCCACCUUGCUGCCACCUCCAUGGUUUGCUGUCCAACGCUGAUCCUUGAGGUCCAAGCUAGGUCCUUCAUUCCUAAAACACAUAAAAGAACGCAUCUUAGGCAGCAGCAUAUUCUCAUUAAUAUUAAAUGAAGUACCGAGGAACGAAAGUACCUGAUAAUUUAGUUGUCGUGCACGAGCCCUAGUAAUUGGUCCAUGUAUCUCCGGUACUUGAGGUGUAGGUGCUGUAGGGGCUGUGGUUGUAUCAUUAGUUGGGAUGUCCUCAUCACCUGGGCGGUCACCUUGCGCACUGGUUCCACCUCCACCCAUUUGGAGAACUUGUCGAUGGCCACAAACAAGUAUUCGUAACUGCCAACCGCCCUCGGUAGCUUGCCGACGAUGUCUAGUCCCCAGACCGCGAACGGCCAUGAGGACGGGAUGGCAUGCAGGGCCUGGGGUGGUUGGUUGCUCUUGUUCGAGUGGAACUGGCACGCUUCACACAUCCUCACCAGCCGCUCUGCGUCGGCCAGGGCCGUGGGCCAGUAAAAGCCAUGCCGGAAAGCCUUGCCGGCUAAAGCCCGGGAGGCCACAUGGUGUGAACAUGUGCCUCGAUGUAUGUCCUUCAAUAGUGCACACCCUUCCUCCUGCGGCACGCAAAAGAGUUUAACACCAUUCGCACGCCUGCGGUAGACGCUGCCGUCUAUCACGGUGUACAUCUUGGCUCGCCACGCUCCGCAGCGACGUCAUCCUCCGGGAGAGCCUCCCAUUUCAAAUAGCGGGCGAUCUCUUCCGCCCAGGGAGGAAUUUCUCUGCCCAUGCAUGCCGCCAUAUCAGCGGCAUGGACCCCUGCUGCUGCAGGGGUUCCCUCGGGUGCUGGAGGGGCGUCCCCGGCAGCCGUGUGGGGGGUGACUGAAGGAGCCAGUUGCUUCUGGCAGAACACCCCCGCCGGAGGCUUCCGGCGCUCUGCUGCCAUCUUGGCCAGCUCAUCAGCAGCGAAGUUGUCCUUCCGCUUGACGUGUUCGAAGCGCAAACCCUUGAACUUCCGUUCCAGCUUGCGGACCUCUUCCACGUACGGCACCAUUUGAGGGCAAUCGUAGUCCUUGCUCACCUGGUUGAUCACAAGCUGGGAAUCACCGCAAACAACCAGGCGCUUAAUGUCGAGGGCGACCGCUGCCCGCAGCCCGGCAAGCAGGCCUUCGUACUCCGCCGUGUUGUUGGUGGAGUUAGCGAAGUCGAGUUGGACGGCGAACCGCAGCAGGUCCCCUGUGGGUGACUCGAUGACGACCCCGGCUCCCGCUCCCUGGAGACUGAACGCACCGUCGAAGUAGAGGACCCAGUGGCCCUCGUCCAGCUUGCCGGGAAGGCCGGUCUCCGACUCACUUUCUUCUAUGCCCGUGGACGUCCACUCCGCAACGAAGUCCACCAGGGCCGUGCUCUUAAUGCUUUUGAAGUUGGCGAAGUGGAGGUCGAACUCCGACAGCUCCAUCCUACAUUCAGCCACUCUCCCGGUGGCUUCACGGUUGGUGAGGGUCUUCCCGAGGCAGAACCCGGACACCACCGUGACGCGGUGCACCUGGAAGUAGUGACGCAACUUGCGGGACGCAAGGAGAAUCCCCAGAAGGAGCUUCUGUACUUGCGGGUAUCUUGUCCGCGCGUCGCGCAACACCGUACUGACGAAGUACACCGGUCGCUGCACUAACCGCUUCCGCGGCGCCGAGGUUGCCGGCUCUGGGGUGGUCCCUGGGCUUGAGGUGGUUGCCGGAGGCUGCUCAUCCCCCUGCCCUGCCGCCCCAAUCCCCGGGACGUCUUCCUCCCUCUCGGCAACCAGCACCGAGCUGACCACCUGGUCAGUCGUCGCUAGGUAGAGUAGCAGCGGCUCGCCCAACUUGGGGGCGACGAGGAUGGGCGGUGACCUCAGGUAUCGCUUGAGUUCCUGCAGCGCCGCCUAGGCCUCGACAGUCCAGUCGACUGGACCCUUCUUCUUCAUUACCCGGAAGAAAGGCAGGGCACGCUCGCCCAGCCUGGAGAUGAAGCGUCCAAGCGCGGCAACGCAGCCGUUGAGGCGCUGGACAUCUUUCACCUUGCGGGGGGCCUCCAUCUUCUCAAUGGCUUCUAUUUUGGUUGGGUUGGCCUGUAUCCCCCGGUGUGAAACCAAGAAACCCAGAAGCUGCCCGGAGUUGACGCCGAAGGUGCACUUAUCCGGGUUCAGCCUGAGCUUGAUCUUGCGGAGGUUGUCAAAUGUCUCCCGCAGGUCAUCAAUCAGGGAGUCCCUACGCUUCGAUUUGAUGACGAUGUUAUCCAUGUAGGCCUCCGCGUUGCGGCCUAGCUAGGGCCCCAAACAUUCUCGCAGGGCGCGCUGAAAUGUGGAGCCCGCGUUCUUCAACUCGAAAGGCAUGCAUGUAUAGCAGUAGCAGCCAACCGGGGUGAUAAACACUGUCUUUUCCUCAUCCUCGACCGCCAUCUUGAUUUGAUGGUAGCCGGAGAAAGCAUCCAAAAAACUCAACAGGUCACAACCAGCGGUAGAAUCAACUAUCUGGUCGAUACGGGGUACAGGGAAGGGAUCCUUGGGGCAUGCACGAUUAAGAUCGGUAAAAUCCACGCACAUGCGAAGCUUAUUCCCCGCUUUGGGCACUACUACAGGGUUAGCCAAUCAAGUGGGGUACAAAACUUCCCUGAUCGCCCCGGCAGCCCUGAGCUUGCCCACCUCUUGCUUGAUGAAAUCUUUCCGCUCUUGUGCCUGCCGCCGGAUCUUCUGCUUGACGGGGUGCGCGUCCGGGCGCACCGCGAGCCGAUGCUCAAUCACCUCCCUGGGGACUCCGGGAAGGUCUGACGGUUCCCAAGCGAACACGUCGGCGUUUUCCCGGAGGAAGGUGACGAGUGCGCUUUCCUAUUCGGCGGUCAGGUUUGCACCGACGGUAACGGUGCGCUCCUUGUCGCCGGCUUGGAGGGGCAGCUUCUUCACUUUGGCGGCCUCCUCCCGGAGCCCCCGCCCCUUGCCGGGACGCGCGCUCGAGCCCGCACCUCCUCCGGCUAGCCCUUGCAGGGUGGCGCGGGCCUUCUUCGUUGCCGGGGCGUCACCCGGCAGGGCGUCGUCCCAGAACCCAAUUGUCGCACCGGGUGGUCGUCGGCUCUGAAGGUGAUCGGCACGUGCGACCACCUCAGCGGCUGUUGCAGCUCCGCGUCCGGCAACAGCGCGCACUUGUCGCGGGUGAGGCGCUUCACCGCGGCGUGUGAUGGGAGAGCGUAAGAUCCCCCAUGGAUACAGGCGACGCCACGAGGCUCCUGGAAGCCCGGCUCGUCGCCGCCGGAAUGGUCGGACUCGCGCUGCUCCUCGGCGCGCACCCUGUCGCGCCCGCGAGGAGGGCGUUCCCGCACAGCGAGGGGCUGGCUGCGCCCUCCUUGGGGUUCGACCCUGCCGGCACCCCCGCCCGCCGGCCUCAGACCCGCUCUGGGGUCGUUCGGGCAAUCUCGGGAGAGAUGCCCGAUGUCGCCACAAUUGAAGCAGGCGCCGGCGGCGCGGCGCUCCUCGUGGCGCUGCUCCCUCCGCUGCUUGAUCCCUUGCAGGACGCGGCAACUCUGCGUGUCGUGGGUGGAGUUGUUGUGGACAGGGCAGCGGGCCGCGUCACCCUGCUUCCCGCCAAACUCUCCCCUCGACGAGGCCUUCUUCGUGGGCCUCGCCGCAAGAGGCCCCGAGUCCGCAGCGAGGACUUGCUUCCCGCUGCGCUUACGGGAACCCUUCUUCCACGAGCCCUCACCAGGGCUCGCGCACUUGUGUGCCAAGGCGUACAAGUCCUGCGUCGUCCGGAUCCGAUGCGUGCUCAGCUUCUCACGCAUCUUGGGAUUGCGGACGUUGAUGGCGAAGGUGUUGAUGAUGGCGGCCGCAUCCGCCUCCGGGAUAGAAUAGGAGAGAUUGGAGAAGCGGUUGACGAAGGCCCGCAACGUCUCUCCCGAUUUUUGCACGAUGGUGUGCAGCUCCGCCAUGGUUCCCGGGCGCUUAUAGCCGCCCUGGAACGCGCUCACGAACUGCUCGCGCAGGUCUGCCCAGGUGGCGACAGAUCCGGCGGGCAGGUUGAGCAACCAGGUUCGCGCUGAUCCCUUCAGGACCAUCGGGAACCAGUUCGCCCUGACCUUGUCGUCGGCGCCGAUGGCAUGCAUGCCCAGCGUAUAGGUCAGGAGAAAAUCGUUGGGGUUAGCGGUCCCGUCGUACGUACUGAGCGCAGGCGCUCGGAACUUACGGGGCCACACCGCCUGCCGCAACUCGCGCGCGAACGCAGUGCAGCCGUCUUCUGGGCCCAAGGAAGCAUCUUCUUGCUCCAGUGGGUGUCGGCGCUCAACCUCACGCCGGCGCAGAUCCUCCUGUUGUCGGGCAUUCAAGAUGCCACGCGCAUCGCCCCCCAGGACGGUGGGCGAUGAAUUUGAGGACCCCUCCGGGCCCCCGUCUACCAGGCCCCGCUGAGGAGGGGGAGGGUUCUCCCCCUGUCGUGAGGCGGGCGGCGCGCCUUCGCGCUCUGAGUUCGGCCCGUGGCCGAAGCCUACCGGGGCGCCCUCGCCUUGCGGCUGUUGGGCGGCCAGGGCGACAAGCGCUUCCAACUCCUCGCCCCACGUCUCAUGCGCCGGCGUGCCCUGCUGCGGCUCGUACCGCACCAUGACGCGCGCGGCGACGAUGGCUUCAGCCGGGGUUCGCACGGGGGGCAACCGGUUUCCUGAACGGCUGCUUCCCGCCCUGGCCCCGGACGCCUCCGGGCGUGCAGGGUGCGAACCUCCAGGGGUCGCCCGGGACGCGGCGUGCUCCGGGUGCCGCUGCCGCGGGGCAUCCUCGGGUCGCGUCUCCACCCAUUGGCUGGCCCGGGCGACGCCAUGCAUGCUCUCCUGACUGCCCCCGGCGCAGGGGGCAGCCGGUCCCCUCGGCCGAUUGUCGGUCGACGGUCGGGGAGGCGGUGGUGGCAGCUGCGUUUGCUGCACCCUCGAGGGCUCGGGAUUCUCUUGAGCUCCCGACUCGGGUCGCACGUCGUGGGACCACAUGUGCGCCGCUGGGGCCUCACGCGGGUCUAUGUGUGAAUCACCAGCCCGCUUGGAGGGCAUGGUGACAAGGCUCGUCGACGAAGAAGAGUGAAGCCGAUGCCGAUGGGAACUUCCGCUGCCGGCGAUCUCCGGCGCCAUCCACUCCCGCGCCCCCUACCUGGCGCGCCAGAUGUCGUCGCUCGGUGCUCCGACACCGGGGGCGUGCAGCCACGUCCUCCUUUCAGGUUCGGUAGGGGCGUCUGGGGUGGAGAGCAGAUGAUCGCCGGCACGGCCGACGAGGCCCUACCGGGCCGGCGAGGCAAAGUGCUAGGGGUACGCGCUAGUCCAAGAACAGACGUACGCACGUUUUUUACCCAGGUUCGGGCCACCCGGAGGUGUAAAACCCUACGUCCUGCCUGUCUGAGCUGAUAUUGAUUACGGAUCAAAUGUUUACAGGUUGCCGGGCAAGCUCCCGUGCUUUCUCUCAGUGGCUAGGCACUUCCCGCUACUCUCCGCUGGCUGCCUACUGGAGCCAGUAAGCGUCUAUCGAGCGAGCUUCGUCCGAACCAACUAACCGACCAGCUGACUAACUUCUCCAACUGUCUGACCCGUCAACCCUCUCUUACCCCUAGACCGUUGGCAUGGGUCCUCCUUUUAUACACAAGGGGAUGCCACAUGUGCCACGGUGCAUGGGCUGCAAGUGUCCAACGGGGAGGCACGCAACUCUCCGUAGUGAGCUGGUGGCAUGCAUGGGUGCCACCUCCGCUGCUAGGGGCCUAAGACCCUAGGGUAGGAUUGGACAACCACUGUUCCUUCGACCCGACGGGUAACUACCCGUCGGUCGGCUCGUUUACUGAGCCGCGCGCCUUACUCCUUGCCUUGGUGGGACCGCGCGUUCCGCACCCGCCACGCGCCCGUGUGGCGCUGUCCAGUGGGCCCCACGACCCGAGGCGGGGGCACGCGUCCGGGAGCCUCCAGUCCCCGCAAGUCGGCCCGGGAAGCACCCGGGCCCAGCGCGCCCGGGAACCUCCUCCCGGGAAGCAGCUUCCCGGGAGGUGCCUAAUCGGGAAUAUUCCUGGAAGCCCCGCGAGCCCCUUUCAGGCUGGUAGCUUGCCGGGAAGCUCGUUGGCCCUCCCCGGGAUGAGACCUUCCCGGGAACCCCGAGGAGGGGGCCACGCGUCGCGCAGCGGUGGUACCCCGGGUGCCACUGGUGCGACAGGAUCGUUUUUCAGAUUUUUUCUACUAGAUCGAACUUGCUUUUGGUUUUCUUGUUCUUCGUGUGAUGCAGGUUUCCUUCAUCAAUCUUCCGCGCUAAACUCCCUGCCACACCACCGCCACGCCAUAAUUUUCUGCUACCCAAAUCGAGAGUUACAAAUCUCAUCGAAAGAUCGGGCCACCCCGACCCACAUCACGUGGUAUCCACCAUAUCUUCCAUGAGUCCCUCGUCGAGUCCUACACCGAGUCCCUCUUCGAGUCCUACACCGAGUCCCUCGUCGAGUCCUACAUCGAGUCGGCAAGUUAUAGUUUUCAGUCGCGAAUCCGAGUUCGAGUCCAAUCGGGAGAGAGUUGGGAAAGAGUUUCAGAAAGAGGAAAGAUAUUAAAAAAAUCUUGGAGAUCAAGUUGUUCGGAAAGUUGUGAUACGGAAAGAAAAAGGAGAGAAAAAAAAAAGACAGGGAGUUCAAGUAAAUUUCGGACCCGAGUCCGAGUAGAAUUUUAGUUUCGGGUGGGUUUGACCCGUGUUCAGUAAAACGAGCGUAUCUUUUGCGUACCAACUCGGAUUUGGACGUUCUUGGACUUUUUGAAAAGCUCACGACGACGCGCAUCAGGAAAUAUCCAGGGUGCUGCCCUGCACUUUGACCUUCUAAGGUGGACUUUUGGAGCUUCCAAGUUUCUGCAUCCGUUUUCCGGCAUCGCUGCAGCCCGAUGUUUUUCAGUUUUCUUCACCGUCCAACAUCCGAUUUGAGUGAUCUUGCCCUUGCGGGAAAGCUUGUGUCGAUACGCUUCUAACCCAUAUUUUUCCAUAUUUUUCCGGAUUUUUCUUACUGCAGCCUUUGCUGUUCUUCUAUGGACCGACAUACAAUUUUCCGGUCCUUCUUUUGCGUGAGUUUCUGGGGUUAAAAAAAAAGAAAAGAAGAAGAAGAAAAGAAUAAGAAGCCAAACAGAAGGCCACAAAAAGAAAAAGAAAAAAAAAUAAAAAAAUCCCAGGGAUUUACUUGUUGUGCCAUCUUUCUAUCCUACCUUCUUCGGUAUCUACGCUUAGAUUAUUUCUGUAAUUCGUUCUUAUCGACUCUAGCAGCUAGGACUAGCAUUAUUGAGCAUAUUACACUUGAUACAUCCAUGUAUUUGUCACAUGCAAUGUUUAAAGUUUCUGAAUUAACAAUUUCCAAAUCUUUUGCUAAUGCUCAUGGAUACGCUAUUCAUUUAAUUGGAGAACAUGAUGUGAACAAUAACUUUUUUUUGGAUGAAAUUUGCAUUACUUGUGAUAAUUUUCCUUUCUUGAGAGAAAAUAAAUUUUUGCAUAUGCCUAAUCAUUUUGAUAAGAGCUCCAAUAUUGGUGUUGAUUAUUUGCCAAGUAGUUCUUUACACGAUUGUUUGAAUAUCAGUGCUUUGACAUGCUCUAAAUUUCAGCAUCUUGUAAUAACUAAUUUGGGUAACAUUAAUUAUUAGUCUCCAGUGUUGGGAUGGUAUAAUGGUGAGCGGUGCAAACCAAAUAUAAGAUAUUGUUUUCACUUAUAUAUGCAAAACAUAUUGUCAAUCUUCUUGCUGGAAUGAUAUUCAUGAUGAUUGUUUGACUAAUUAUCUCAUGAGAUUGUGUUAUAAAACAUUAAUUAUGCAACAUGUGAGUGGAGUUAAAAAUAACGAUAUAUACAUAUAUCAUGCGCAUACCUUGUCUCUUUUGUUAGCAUAUUUUCAGCAUAAACGACGCCGAGGACGGCUUUCCUUUCAAAAAAGGGAGGAUGAUAUGGACAUGCUAACCAUGGAUACAACCAUUAGAACCCUAAUUGUUGGUGUAUCUAAUAACAAUUAUAAUCAGGUGAAUUCAAUUACAAAAUGUUUUCAAUAUGUUACUUGCAAAGAGGCGGAGCUACUAUCUUGUGUAAUCUUAUUAUGUAGGUAUCUUAUUGAACUUUACAAGUCCAAAGUGAAAAUGAAGUGUGAUAGCCUGCAAAGGGAGAUUCAAAGUGAAGCCUAUCAAGUCUACUUUCCAACAAAUCAAACGGCACAUGAUUCGGAGCUUGCUAGAGAAAGAUAUCACGAAUUAAAGUUGAAUCCGAUCCGGCUCCGAACUGUCAGGAGAUCCGAAUUUUUUUUAAUCACCCAGGCCCCAUCCGGAGUCCAAAUCAAGCAAACAAGUACUUGUUGGAAAGGUAAUUACAAGACCUUUCCAACGGAUCUGGCCCCAUCAAGAGAUUCGACUCGCGCUGAUCGUGGCGGACAAAACAAGCUGACGGAUCUGUUUUUCUGUUUCCUAAAGAGUUGUAGUUUGUUAGGAAAGUUAGAGAUAGAGUUGGAUUUCGGCCUCCUUACUCAAGGUGGACCAAAAUAUCUCUCCCUCCUCCUUUAUAUACCACAUGAGCCCCCCUAUGGAGCCUUGGGUUUUAUUUAGUUAAAAGUUAGCCAUCGCUACUACUUUGUGUAAUCACGUGUGUCGGCUAGACCACCUGUUUUACCGCUUUCGGAACCCCAACUUAUCAUCUCGUUGAGACAUUGGUUUGAUAGUAUAUUCGCAAUUUUAGAUUGCAUCUGCUAUUUAUCUUGUUCUUGCUUAUUCUUCGAUUGCUUGCAGGAACAAAGACCUUCGUGGUCAGGUUGAUCGUGCCCCCGCGGGAUCAAUAACCCUCUGGAGUUGGUGUAUCGAUUGCUAAGGCGCUGCCUCUUAGGCCGUAGUCGGAUCGUCAACGUCAUUUCUUAUCCAAAUCGAGAGUUACAAAUCUCAUCGAAAUAUCGGGCCACCCCGACCCACAUCACCCUGACUCCCUACUUCUAGCUUGGGGGAGAACUGGCGACCCAGCUUGGUAGCAUGGCCAGUGAGGGGGAAGCGGCUCCACAGUCGUUGACUCCUGCGCCAAGUCAGGAGGUGGGCCAAACUUGAAGUUUAGACUUCUUAGGAUUUCUCUUUUCCUCUUUUGUAAUUUCUCUUUGUUUGUAUGGUCCUUGCUCAAGUGUGAGCGUUGUUAAUAAAGAAACGCCUCUGUUCCUUUGUACUGAUAUGAGUCGGAGACCUUGCUUCUGGUUAGGCUUGAGUCUUUGAAUCCUUCUCGGGACUAAAGGGAAUUUCUCUUCUGCAGAGGCAGAAAGAGCCCAUGAUUCCAAUAGUCGAAGUAGACGCCGAGAAAGUCGUGACUCCCAAGUUGAGUAUCGCAAGUGCUGAGGUCUCUGCUAAAGUGAAUCCUCCUGAAGCUCCGAAAACCGUGGAGUCGAUGCCUCCUAUGGAGGUUCCUUCCUUGGUCAAGACUCGAAGUGAACUGGAGUUCCUACGUCGACGUCUCCAGGAAACCGAAACCCGUGCCAAGGACUCGGCAAUGCAGAGUCGGAGAACAUCAGGCGAGUUGCAGAUCGCCAAGACCAAGCUGAAGGCGGCUGCUGCCCGUGAAGAAUUUAUCUUCGAGGAACUUCACGGGCUGAGUUCUCAGCUUCAAUGUGAGUCGCCGCAUCCUAUUUGCUUGACUUCUUUUUUUUUAUUUGUGUUUUAGUCGAGUUGUUUGUAGAUGUGCAAACCAACCCACGAGCCGAGCAAGAUCGAGUGAACAGUGCCCUGAAUGCUCGUCAAACGAUCGAUUGAUCAUCGUUCUGAUCUGACCGAGUUCUACGACAAAAUAGCCCCGGGUAGAAAUGCUUUUCUUAGCACGCUUUUUACUUUCGUCUCUAUGUGCCCGACCCGUACCGUUAUCUGAGACGUUGUGUGAGUCGUCUCAAUUUCCAGCUUCUCCGCACGUACCGUGACUUUUAAAAAUAAAUAAGUCAUCUCAGAAAACUAAAGCCUUCGUCUUCUUCCAUAACCAACCUGAUGGAGGCGGACAAACCCUAGAUGAGUCCCGUAGGUUCCCGUCCUGGCGGCUGGCGCCCCUUGCCGGCAAACUCUCCCCUUCUGCACGUGAGUUCCAUCCUCCUCUUUCCGAAGUUCUUUGGAAUUACCGGAUCUCUUUUCUGUCAUACCCCUGGAGGCACCCUGCUCCAAGAUCGAUCCAUCAGGACGGCCUGAGCGACCUAUUCCCUGCGGCUGGUCUCCUGUGCAACAACCCAAUCCAGCCAUCCAGGCCAUCCACGAAGGUGCACAACCGUCCGCCUCCCCCUCAUCUCCCCUCUCAGAUCUCUGAUUUUGUUUUCUUGUAUGCUGCAGAUCUGUACUUUAUGUGAUUGGGUUGUCAUGGCAAUUGUUGUUGAGAUAAGAUAAUCCAGCGCUGACAAUCACGAGACAGGAGAAAAACAAGUAAAUUUUUAUUUACCAUUGCCUCACUUGAAUUGAUUGUGCCUGUUCAGGCUUGUUUCAGUUAAUUGUGAUCUUCAGGUCACUCGGCUGCAGGACAGCCAUGCCACAUUCAACAGGUGAUCGACCAGUUCAUCUAUGAAAACUGAGGUAUUUUAUUAUUUUUGUUACAGUUAUCUGAUCAAGUACGCCCAAUAAAAAGAUUAGCCAUGUCGCUUGUGUAAUCAAAAUAAUUUUUUGCUCCAGGGAAUCUAACUCCGCUGACAUACCCAUGUACUAUAGCUUGAUGCGUAAUUACUUUUUGCAUCGUAGGAAUUCAACUCUGAUGCCAUAAUUUAUACCCAGAAUUUACUACUUUAGUAGAAUUUGUAUCCAGAAUUUAUUUAUGCCUCAUUUAACUUUAUUUGCAGAAGAACUUCCAUGGGAGAAUUUGCAAGGAGCACAAGAAAUGGCCUUAAGGAAAAGCUAUGAAAAGAUACAAGAGCAGAGCAGAGAAGAUUGGGGGAGCAGAUCCGCGUGUAGAUAUAUAGGUUUCAACUAGUUAGCAUUACAUUAUAUAUUUUUCCAGUGACCUGUGCAAUGUUUUAUGGAUCUUGUACCUUUCAGUUGUAAAGAUUGUUUUUUUAUAAUAUAAUUUCUUAUUCACCACCGUGUUAUGAUUUGUGAGUAGAAGUAAGAUUAUUUCUUGGGUAUUAAUUGGCCAUAUCUAAUUACAUAAAUUUAAACACAUCACCUUGUAAAAAAAGAAAAUGUCUCUAUGAGUUCUUUGGCACGCAAUAAAGCGGCUCAACAUAAGUAUCGACGAGUGUGCAGGUGCAACUAUCAUGAAUUUACCAAUACGUCUCAACUGGCAUAGACAUGCUCUUAAAACGUCUCACUAUCAGAUAGAGAUGCUUUCUAUGCGUAUCUACAAAUUUUGACACGGUGCGGGAGGAGGCGCUUCUAGGACGCUUUACAAAGCGACUUUACAAUCUUGUAGAGAUGAAUUAAAGCGUCUUUAACACCUAUAUUAGAUGUCCCUACAAGGCUAUUUUGCGAGCAAGGGGUCGUGACCGGAUGCUGCUGCGAGACCGCAUAGACCAGAACAAAACCUUCUUCGACUCGCACUUAGAAACUCUAAAGACGAUUCAUCAGGCAUUCUGGCCCUUGGAGGAGGUGCCCCAGGAGCGGAGUAAGCUGACCCGAAAACUUGGGCAAGAUAGCAUCUUCCGGGAGCUGAUGUACCGUCAGCUGGUCAGGGGAGCGAAGAUAGCCCUGGCGUUCGUGUAGAUCUAGCACCCUCUGCUCGACCUCAGCUGAAUCUCUGAGCUUCCGCUCGACCCUGACGAUGAGAUCGACAUGCGACCGCAUUUCCAGGCUGUGUAUGUGCAGGCGGCGAGGAUCAUCGGCUGGCGAUACUGGAAGGAAGAAGAUCUUAUUUCUCGACAGCAAUCACAGUGUUAACUGUCGAGCCCACCGUAAAUAGCAGUAGAGUAGAUUCUACCGGGUGCGCGACCAGCGCUCCCGGUGGGAGUAGGCCCUAAGUCUGGUGACGACUGUUUGUAGUGGUGACCGGACUCAAGUUAUGUACUCAAAGACUUGCUUACAAAGGGUUGUUCUGUUCUUGUUAGAAAGAACUUUGUGUAACCUAAACCGUAUUUGAAUAUAAAUUUGAACCCGAAGACUGCCGGUGGGAGCGACCGGCGAAGUGGUGUACCCGGGAUGCACACAAACCAAGAACGCAUGCACGCACGUUUUUACCCAGGUUCGGGCCACCCGGAGGUGUAAAACCCUACGUCCUGCCUGUCUGAACUAGUAUUGAUUAUGGAUCAAGUGUUUACACCUUGCCGGGGGAGGGUCCUCGGGCUCUCUCUCCUUUCUUGCUAAAUGCUACUUACUAUUCUUCGACUAAGACUAGUUGUGAACUGUGAGUCCAUGUAACCGUGUGACCGUUGAACCCUUUGACCAUUGGCGGGAUCCUCCUUUUAUUCUCAAGGUGAAGCCACAGGUGCCACGGUGCAUGCACUAUAAGUGUCGAACGGGGAGGCAUACAACUCCCCCUCGGUGAGCUGGUGGCAUGCAUGGGCGCCACCUCCGCCGAUAGGGGCCUAAAACCCUAGGGUAGGAUUGGACUGCAACUGUUCACCUGAUUCGGACGGGUAACGCUCCUCCUGUCGGCUCAUUUAAUGAGCCGUGCGCCUCACUCCUCGCCCUGGUGAGGCCGCGCACCCGGCGCCCGCCACGCGUGAUAUGGGUGUGGGUGGCCCGAUCUUUCGAGGAGAUUGAUAACCCUCGAUUUGGGUAGGAGGUGACGUUGAUGAUCCGACUACGGCCUAAGAGGCAGCGUCUUAGCAAUCGAUACACCAACUCCAGAAGGUUAUUGAUCCCGCGGGGGCACGAUCAACCUGACCACAAAGGUCUUUGUUCCUGCAAGCAAUCGAAGAAAAGGGAAGAACAAGAUAAAUAGCAGAUGCAAUCUCAAAUUGCGAAUAUACUAUACCAAACAAAUGUCUCAACGAGACGAUAAGUUGGAGUCUUGACGACGGUAAAACAGGUGGUCUAACCGACAUACGCGAUUACACGAAACUAGUAAAGAUGGCUAAACUUUAUCUAGUCAAAACCCAAGGCUCCUUAGGGGGGCUCAUGGGGUAUAUAAAGGAAGAGGGAGAGAUAUUUUCGUCCACCUUGAGUAAGGAGGCCGAAAUCCAACUCUAUCUCUAACUUUGCUAACAAACUACAACUCUUUAGGAAACAGAAAAACAGAACCGUCAUCUUGUUUUGUCCGUCACGGUCAGCACGAGUCGAAUCUAUUGAUGGGGCCAGAUCCGUUGGAAAGGUCUUGUAAUUACCUUUCCAACAAGUACUUGUUUGCUUGAUUUGGACUCGGGAUGCGGCCUGGGUGAUUAAAACAAAUUCGGAUCUCCUGACAGCUCGGACCCGAAUCGGAUUCAACUUUAAUUCGUGAUAUCUUUCUCUAGCAAGCUCCGAAUCUUCUGCCGUUUGAUUUGUUGGAAAGUAGACUUAAUAGGCUUCACUUUGAAUCUCCCUUUGCAGGCUAUCACACUUCAUCUUCACUUUGGACUUGUAAAGUUCAAUAAGAUGCCUACAUAAUAAGAUUACACAAGAUAGUAGCUCCGCCUCUUUGCAAGUAACAUAUUGAAAACAUUUUGUAAUUGAAUUCACCUGAUUAUAAUUGUUAUUAGAUACAGCAACAAUUAGGAUUCUAAUGGUCGUAUCUAUGGUUAGCAUGUCCAUAUCAUCCUCCCUUUUUUGAAAGGAAAGCUGUCCUCGGCGUCGUUUAUGCUGAAAAUAUGCUAACAAAAGAGACAAGGUAUGCGCAUGAUAUAUGUAUAUAUCGUUGUUUUUAACUCCACUCCCAUGUUGCACAAUUAAUGUUUUAUAACACAAUCUCAUGAGAUAAUAAAAUUAAUUUGUGCACUCAAAUCAUUAGAAGAAUUAAUUUCAGCAGUAGGUGCACUUGAAUCACCAUGUACGACAAUAAUUUCACAUGGUGCAGAAAAUUCAACAGGUAUCACAUUUAUUUCAUCACAUGCCCUUUUUAGUUCAGCAACACAAUCCUCUGUAUCAUUACCUUGUGGGCUCGACUCAUUUGUAGUAGACCCUCGCUGUAAUUUCCUCUCAACUUUACGAGCAAGAUUAAGCAAACACAAAAGAGAGUCGUAUUUUCCAUAUUCAAUCAUGUCAGAAAUAUCAAAAUUAAGCCCACAAUAAAACCUAUCCAUUUUUCUUUGUUCGGUUUCAUCUAAACCAAAUCGCAAGGUUAUAAUUUGGAACUCAUUGUAGUAAUCAUCAACAGUUUUAUCAUCUUGUGCCAAACGUUGUAAUUUUGAACGCAAGUUAAAAGCAUAACUAAAAGGGACAUAUUUUUCUCUCAUGAUUUUUUUCAUAUCAACCAAAGUGUGGGGAAUUUUCUUUUCUCUAACUAUCUCAUUCCACCAAGAUAAAGCAGCAAAAGUAAAUUUACUACUAGCAAUUUGAACCUUGUGACUAUCAAGUACAUGGAAGCAUGUGAAUUGUUCAGUUAAAGCUAGCUCCCAAUCUAUAUACGUUUCAGCAUCAUUUUCCCCCUCAAAGAGAGGUACACACAAUUUAAUUGUAUUAGAAGGAUUGUUUUGUACCGUUGCCGUGGCAUUAUCAACAAGAGACGUGGAGGAUGGCCGUCGUGAAAAGCACUCAUCGCGGUCACGAGAUAGCAUCGGUCUAGUUGCCAUGCUUCGUGUAAGUCCUGUCAUGGUUAGUAGAAAUGUAACAUCCCAAUUUUCAAAACUCUUCAUAUGCAUUGCAUAUCAUAAGCAUCAUGUCACCCUUGCAUUUAAUCACUUUCAAAACCCUAAAAAUUUGCCCAGAAAACCCUUUUGCAAAGAUGCCUUUAUUUGAUUUUGGGCUUUGAUCUUGCUCUUGAGUAUUUGCAUUUUAAUCCAUGAGGGUAUUGCGAUAAAAAGGGAUUUAAUGCAUAUAUAGAGCUAUCCCAUAAAUUGGCUCUUGAAAUUAUUUUGAAAAAAUAAUUUGUUUUGAUAGCCUAAUGGGGCCAAAAGCCAUUUUAUAGGCAAAUAUAUUUUUAAAUAUUUUAUUGUGAGGAAAUUCUUGUUCCAAAAGUUAGAUCAUAUGAAAAUAUGAUUUUACAAAUUUUGUUGCAUUUUUUAUUUGGAGUGAUUUGGAGCUUCGAGUCAAUUUUGAGGUUCAAAAACAGAACAUAGAUAAAAGAAAAGGACCGGACCGACCGGAUCCGCCCCGCCCGAGCCGCGUGCUCCCCCUGACCGGUGGACCCCACAGUCUUCUUCAACCUCCGUCCGUUUUUCCCGGCCACGCACGAGUCCGUGUCGCCCACGACUCCACCUCCGAUUUCUCCGCGCUCGGGCCGUUUCAAAUCCUUGCGCGUCACCCCGAAGCCCUCGCUUUUCUCCUCCACUUCCUCCAAACCGCUCGCCCGAUUUCGCACCGGUUAGAAAGUAAUUGCUCGCCUGAGUUCAUUGCUGUCGUCGCCGUUCUUCGCGAUUCGCCGCCGUUCCGGUGAGGUUCUCCCCGCGCCAACCCCCUAGCCUCUCUCCUCUCCCUGUCCCGAACGCCGUGACGCGCUCGCCUUUGUGUUUGGUCGCCGCGCCGCCAUCUUCCCCCACGCCGGCUGCCGCCCGCGCUCCGCCCACCUGUGCGCCGCCGCUCCUCCUUCGGCCCAGCCGCCCCGCGCCCCGAGCCCGCGCCCGUGCGCCGCCGCCUGCGCGCCCGACCGUGCCCGCCGCUCGGAGCCGACCGCGCGUGCCGCCCGCCGCUCGCCCGCGCCCAUGCCUUUGCGUCGCCCUUGCGCCGACUCCGCGCCGCCCGCCGCCGUUGCCGGCUGUCCGCGCCACCGGCCGGAAACCCUAGGCUCCGGCCACUCAUGUUCUGCCGCGUGGCAGUGCCUUUUUGUUUUUAUUUUAUUUUAUUUUAUUUCGGCCGAAUUAGAUAAUGCAAAUUUUGCAAAAAGGCCCCUAACUCUUCAAAGCCUCAUAUCUUUCCAACCGUUUGUCCAAAAAUUUGUGAUCCGCACCUUUCUGAAAUCGUCACAACGUGUAGAAUAUUUUGGCACUGUUUAAAUUCACUUUUGAACAACUUAGAGAUUAGGUAUUUACAGAAUGGUUGAAUAUGGUUUAAAUCUCAAAUGAAUUGUUUCAAAAUAGUUUUGAGCAUGUUAUCUUACUGUAAAAUUAUUUAAACUUGUUCUCUGUCCAUUAGGACCAGAAAAUAAAUUAUUUUGUGAAUAAUAAUGGCAUACAAGUUUAAAUCUUGCUCUAUGUUGCAAAAGCCACACAAUCUUUUGAUUUAAACCCUAUCCUUGUUCAUGCAUAUUAAUUACCUUUUUGAUGUUGUAUAAUCUGUCCAAAUCAUUUGAAAGACUUUUCAAAACAGAAAUGAAACUUUUUACUUUAGAAGUAACCUUUGUGUGCAUCAUCAUGGCAUAUGCAUCAUGGCAUGGUUUUUGUAUUGAAUGUUGUGUUUAUUGUGUGUGUUUCUUUUAUUUUAGAUUGUGUGGAGUGUAUUCCUUGUUGUUGCGAAGAGUGCGGGAACUACCACAUCCUUGGACAAGGCAAGUUCACUAUGAUCAUUCUCCUAAAUAUUUUUACUAUGCACUAGAUGUUUUAUAAGAUGCAUCAGGAAUAUUACUCGUACUUCUAUGCUAGCUAUAAAUCCCAGGUAGUAUAGUUUACCCUUGCCAUUACCUUGCUACAAAAAUUGCCAUCGAUUGUAGUUGAAUGCUAGGCUAUGGUAGUAUCGUGGGGGAAAUAGCUACAUUAUGAUAUUGUUAUGCCGCUGGCUAUAUGAAAUGUUUUGUUAGAUGUAAGGCAAAACAAAUAAUUCAAUGAACCCUGCUGGCUGGGCUGCUUUGAAGAUUUUGAGGAUUAGCAGCGUCAGGUCCAUUUCUAUGGGUCCCUCUGAGUCAAGUUCCUGUGGAUUUAGGAACGGAUCGUCCAUGGACGUCUCUCCCGUGGAUUCGGGGAGCGCCUACGUUGCAAAUGUGGAAUGCCACCUGGGGUAACCGAGACUGGACUAGUUUCUUAUUUAGAAGCUUCUAGUACAACCACAAUACUAUAUGGGCUCUGGCGAGACAAGAGUAAGUUGUAUGAACCUAGACCCGAGGAAUUGUACUGAGGUAGCCGUGUAGGGGGAGCGUGAUUCUCUCGUGGUUUAGGAAAUUACCUCUGAAAAUCUCGUAAUCGAUGCCGUUGCUACUCUGAUGUGGGUGGGGGUGGCCCGAUCUUUUGAUGAGAUGGAUAACUCUCGGUUUGGGUAGGAGGUGACGUUGACGAUCCGACUACGGCUUAAAAGGCAGCGCCUUAGCAAUCGAUACACCAACUCCAGAGGGUUAUUGAUCACGCGGGGGCACGAUCAACCUGACCACGAAGGUCUUUGUUCCUGCAAGCAAUCGAAGAACAAGCAAGAACAAGAUAAAUAGCGGAUGCAAUCUGUAGUUGCGAAUAUACUAUAUCAAACCAAUGUCUCAACGAGACGAUAAGUUGGGGUUCCGAAAGCGGUAAAACAGGUGGUCUAACCGACACACGCGAUUACACGAAAGUAGCAAAGAUGGCUAAACUUUAUCUAAUCAAAACCCAAGGCUCCUCAGGGGGGCUCAUGGGGUAUAUAAAGGAGGAGGGAGAGAUAUUUUGCUCCACCUUGAGUAAGGAGGCCGAAAUCCAACUCUAUCUCUCACUUUCCUAACAAACUACAACUCUUUAGGAAACAGAAAAACAGAUCCGUCAGCUUGUUUUUUUCGUCACGGUCAGCACGAGUCGAAUCUCUUGAUGGGGCCAGAUCCGUUGGAAAGGUCUUGUAAUUACCUUUCCAACAAGUACUUGUUUGCUUGAUUUGAACUCGGAUGCGGCCUGGGUGAUUAAAACAAAUUCGGGUCUCCUGGCAGCUCGGACCCCAAUCGGAUUCAACUUUAAUUCGUGAUAUCUUUCUCUAGCAAGCUCCAAAUCAUGUGCUGUUUGAUUUGUUGGAAAGUACACUUGAAAUCCUUCCCUCUCAGCUGUAUGAAUGCUUGAUUCUUGUUGGCCCUCCCGUUCGCCUCCAUCGUAUCUCAUCUUAACCUUGGACUUGAAAAGCUCGACAAGAUGCCUACGUAAUAAAACGAGACAAGAUAGUAGUAGCUCCGCCUCUUCAUAAAUAUGACAAUGAAAACAACUACUACUUGAAUUCACCUGAUUAUAAAUCUUUCCAAAUAUUAUAGAAUUGAGGGUACCAAAGGUCGUAUCCAUGGUUAGCAUGUCCAUAUCAUACUCUACCCUGAGGACAGCAAGGGAUUAACACGUCGGUUUCUGGUGGGGAAUGUGUACAAACUCUCGAGAGCGUCAAAACUAAGUACUUAGCCGUGUCCCCGGCAACGGACAUUUUGAGCGACUAGAUGUGGAGCUGUAAGGAAAGUCUCACUCAUUGCAAUUUCUUAAAUAAAAUGAAUGGUUGAACAGGGUAGGAGCACUUGAUGAAUCCACUUCAAUGUGCUCUAGGAUAAUAGGAGCAUGGGUGUGUCUACCCCGUGUCCAACAGUGAUAAAAUUCUAUUUGAUUAAAAGAUAUGAUUCAAUAACAAAGCUUUUAUGCAAAUAGCUUGAACCACACUUUGCCACAUUAUGCAUAUAUUUGGUAGGCUCUGAUAUAACUCCUAGUGAAUCUUGCCAAUACAUUCAAUGUAUUGACCCUAGUGGCUGCAUCGUUUAAUGAUGCAGGAAGCUCCGAAGACGAGUAAGAUGUACGUUCUGCUUGUUUGGGUUACGGGCUUACAUUCCAACACGCUCUCACCGUGGUGUUGAUGUGCCCUUGUAUCUUUCGUUUUCCGCUGCUAAACAGUUGUUUUAUUUCCAGCUAACCCGUGAGGUUAUGCGAGUUGUAAGUACCUUUAAAUUCUGGAUGAUUCGUUGUAAUAUUGAGACCUUUGUUCUAUGAUAUUACAUCUUGAAACUGUGUGUGCUUGUGAGUCGAUCCAGGGACUAGCACUAAAGCACAGAGAUCGAACCUGUGUACGGGGGCGGUCGCUACAAGAAAACAAGAAACAAAUCACAGUAAUAUGUUCCUAUCAACUACUAGGAUGUGGCUACAAGUUGCUCAACUCUCAAGCUAAAAAUCAAGUUCUUACGAGUUCUUACCAUGCAAAACAGGAAGGUGAUGGCCAGCGGCGUAACCAACACCUCCGGAGAUUAAAUGUAUCGAUGCCUCGGUAAGAAACCAACCUAGGUGUAGAAUCGGUGGAGCUUGGAGGCUUUUGUGAGUAGCAAGGAAUAGCAAAUAAUCAAAUCAGCAAUGCAAAGUUGAAAAUAUGCUCAAUAAUGCUAGUCCUAGCUGCUGGAGUCGAUAAGAACGAAUUACAGA